This 654-nucleotide long non-coding RNA is filed under the name Phoenix dactylifera (date palm). RNAcentral describes it as "long non-coding RNA (PDAC_LNC016412)". The record is from RNAcentral. Lineage: Eukaryota; Viridiplantae; Streptophyta; Magnoliopsida; Arecales; Arecaceae.
UUAUCAGAUCAAGCAUAAUAUUUUUCAUACUAGUGCAUUAUUUUAAGAAACUAACGAUUGUAAUAAAGAAAGCAUUUUCUAUAAUCAAACCAGAUGUAAACCUUUUAUCUUUAUUCACUGCUUUGAAAUCCGUACUUAUCAUUAUUCUUGCUUUGAAAUCCGUACUCAUAAUUAUUCAUGCUUUAAAAUCUGUGCUGUUAUUAUUCAUGCUUUGAAAUCUGUGCUUGUAAUAAAGUAAACAUUUCAAAUAAUCCAACCAGUCAUAAAACUAUGCAUGUCCAUUCAUGCAACUUCAUAAAUAUGAUUAUGCAUCAUAAAACUUUUGCCAUUAUUCUAUACUUUCAAAUUCAUACUCUCAGAUGGUAGUGUAGCUAUGGCCGCUCUUAUUCCCACGGCAAGGCCUUUACCACUGCAGGGUGUAUCUUCCAGUUACUAUUACCCACUGGCGGGGGUCGUAAAGCCAAGUUAUUUUUUCCCACUGGCUGGGGUCGUAUGCCUAGUUACUGUUACCCACUGGCGGGGGUCGUACAUAGCGAUCUGAGAGUUCUUAAAACGUAUCAUGCUUUUCAUAAAUCUUUUCUUAUAGAUCCAUUGGAAAGUGAAUAAUGGCAUCAUGCUAAUAAAACUCAUGAUCAUGUUGAAAACUUUAUUUUU